GAUUCUGGCUCAGGAUGAACGCUAGCGAUAGGCUUAACACAUGCAAGGUCGAGGGGCAGCACGGUGUAGCAAUACACUGGUGGCGACCGGCGUACGGGUGCGUAACACGUAUGCAACCUACCCGCUAUUGGGGGAUAACCCGGCGAAAGUCGGACUAAUACCCCAUAUUAUUCUUACCGGGCAUCCGGUAGGUCUGAAAGAUUUAUCGAUUGCGGAUGGGCAUGCGGAUGAUUAGCUAGUAGGUGGGGUAACGGCUCACCUAGGCGACGAUCAUUAGGGGUUCUGAGAGGAAGGUCCCCCCACACUGGAACUGAGACACGGUCCAGACUCCUACGGGAGGCAGCAGUGAGGAAUAUUGGUCAAUGGGCGCUAGCCUGAACCAGCCAAGUCGCGUGAAGGAUGACAAGAUCCAUGGUUUGUAAACUUCUUUUGCAGGGGAGUAAAGUGCGACACGUGUGUUGUAUUGCAAGUACCCUGCGAAUAAGCAUCGGCUAACUCCGUGCCAGCCGCAGC
Molecule: ribosomal RNA, 513 nt
Filed under: uncultured bacterium
Lineage: Bacteria
Description: bacterial SSU rRNA
Rfam family: Bacterial small subunit ribosomal RNA
Source: RNAcentral